CCUACGGGGGGCAGCAGUGAGGAAUAUUGGUCAAUGGGGGAAACCCUGAUGCAGCGACGCCGCGUGUGGGAAGACGGUCCUCUGGAUUGUAAACCACUGUCCCCAGGGACGAAGAUGACGGUACCUGGAGAGGAAGCUCCGGCUAACUACGUGCCAGCAGCCGCGGUAAUACGAAGGGAGCGAGCGUUGUCCGGAAUUACUGGGUGUAAAGGGAGCGUAGGCGGGGCUGAAAGUUGGGUGUAAAAUCUACGGGCUCAACCGGUAGCCGCACUCAAAACUGCAGAUCUUGAGUGAAGUAGAGGCAGGCGGAAUUCCUAGUGUAGCGGUGAAAUGCGUAGAUAUUAGGAGGAACACCAGUGGCGAAGGCGGCCUGCUGGGCUUUUACUGACGCUGAGGCUCGAAAGUGUGGGGAGCAAACAGGAUUAGAUACCCUUGUAGUC
This 440-nucleotide ribosomal RNA is filed under the name uncultured bacterium. RNAcentral's name for it is "partial 16S ribosomal RNA". It matches the Rfam family "Bacterial small subunit ribosomal RNA", at positions 338 to 795 of the family's 1533-position model. The record is from RNAcentral.